ACUCAAGUAGUUGUUAAUAAAUUGCCUCCAUCUCCUCAGUGAAACACUAUACCUGAAGAAUAAGUUUAGUUACAUCCAGAUCUUAUCUAGAUUCCUUAAAUUGCAGGAUCUAUUAAAGCUCUUGUGAUCGCUCCUCCAAUUUCACAUUUAACCUCACAACCUGAAGCUUUACUUGACUUCUAGUUACAACUAGGUAGCCUUGGAUUAUAUGGCACUAAAGAGUUGUUGAACAACAUGUAUAAUAUCAUUUGGCAGAAAAAAUCAUAAGCUAUUUAAGAAAGGCUACUUCAGCUUGAAGGAAGCCUCUACUAUGCGCCUUCGUGAGGCAACAUCGUUCAAGAAGCCAUAGCCUGAAGGGCUCACACUUGGUUUAGAGCCGACCGCGAU
This 387-nucleotide long non-coding RNA is filed under the name Lathyrus oleraceus (garden pea). Its description in RNAcentral is "Pisum sativum (pea) long non-coding RNA (PSAT_LNC022359)". Lineage: Eukaryota; Viridiplantae; Streptophyta; Magnoliopsida; Fabales; Fabaceae. The record is from RNAcentral.